This 407-nucleotide ribosomal RNA is filed under the name uncultured bacterium. Its description in RNAcentral is "bacterial SSU rRNA". It matches the Rfam family "Bacterial small subunit ribosomal RNA", at positions 9 to 414 of the family's 1533-position model. The record is from RNAcentral.
GAGUUUGAUCCUGGCUCAGGAUGAACGCUAGCGGCAGGCCUAACACAUGCAAGUCGAGGGGCAGCGGGAGUGCUUGCACUCGCCGGCGACCGGCGCACGGGUGCGGAACGCGUAUCGAAUCUGCCUCUAUCUGGGGGAUACCCCAUGGAAACGUGGAAUAAUACCCCAUAGUAUUACUUUAUCGCAUGAUUUAGUAAUUAAAGAAUUUCGGAUAGAGAUGACGAUGCGUAUCAUUAGCUAGUAGGUAAGGUAACGGCUUACCUAGGCAACGAUGAUUAGGGGCCCUGAGAGGGAGAUCCCCCACACUGGUACUGAGACACGGACCAGACUCCUACGGGAGGCAGCAGUGAGGAAUAUUGGACAAUGGUCGAAAGACUGAUCCAGCCAUGCCGCGUGCAGGAUGACCG